AUUGAACGCUGGCGGCAUGCCUUACACAUGCAAGUCGAACGGCAGCGGGCCUUCGGGUGCCGGCGAGUGGCGAACGGGUGAGUAAUGCAUCGGAACGUGCCAUUGAGUGGGGGAUAACGUAGCGAAAGUUGCGCUAAUACCGCAUAUUCUGUGAGCAGGAAAGCAGGGGACCGCAAGGCCUUGCGCUCUUUGAGUGGCCGAUGUCAGAUUAGCUAGUUGGUGAGGUAAAGGCUUACCAAGGCGACGAUCUGUAGCGGGUCUGAGAGGAUGAUCCGCCACACUGGAACUGAGACACGGUCCAGACUCCUACGGGAGGCAGCAGUGGGGAAUUUUGGACAAUGGGGGCAACCCUGAUCCAGCCAUGCCGCGUGAGUGAAGAAGGCCUUCGGGUUGUAAAGCUCUUUCGGCCGGGAAGAAAUCGCAUGGGUGAAUACCCUGUGUGGAUGACGGUACCGGAACAAGAAGCACCGGCUAACUACGUGCCAGCAGCCGCGGUAAUACGUAGGGUGCGAGCGUUAAUCGGAAUUACUGGGCGUAAAGCGUGCGCAGGCGGUUUGGUAAGACAGGCGUGAAAUCCCCGGGCUUAACCUGGGAACUGCGCUUG
RNAcentral lists this ribosomal RNA (604 nucleotides) under uncultured bacterium. Its description in RNAcentral is "bacterial SSU rRNA". It matches the Rfam family "Bacterial small subunit ribosomal RNA", at positions 28 to 629 of the family's 1533-position model. The record is from RNAcentral.